Molecule: long non-coding RNA, 6229 nt
Organism: Gallus gallus (chicken)
Lineage: Eukaryota; Metazoa; Chordata; Aves; Galliformes; Phasianidae
Exons: 3
Source: RefSeq, a predicted model, not a curated record
CAAAGGAGGCCCCAUCUACACCUGCCUCCUGAAUGAAAAUCUUUCCUGUGCCUAUUGAAGAUGUUGGGGAUUGAACACUGAACUUGAAGGGAGCACCCUCUUUCUAAGCCACCCGUCUCCUCAUUGCAAGCUAAGGAUUCCAAUACCUGCUGGGAACUUUCUACGUUCCUUAAAUUGUACAUGGUCCCCAGUAAAAUCUAAUAUGAUACUUGAGAAACAAGGCGUUUCUGUGCCUCUGCAGUCACCCAGGGGAAGUGCAUCUGACUAUUUUCCCCCUCCCUUUGUUUGGAUCAGGGAGAUGUGGUGUUUGCUGCAAGUGCUCCAAGUACCACUAUUUAUUCAGCAGAAUGACAGACAUUUGUAUCUCCACAGAGCUGUGUUCAUCAAUAAUUUACUGCACAGAUAAUGCUCCUUGAGCAGUAAUAAUCAAGAACAGACUGCUGGUAAGCAAAGGAACAAGCAGUACUUCAUUAUCAGUGCUUAUUCUGGAUAGUAUUCUCCAAGGAUGAAUUCAGAUCAGUGCUGUCAUACUGUUGGCACUGUACAACCAGCCUAGAGCUGGGGCUAACUGGGUGACCUGGCCUCUGGGCAGGUCCUACAAGAGGUGUGAGGGCAGCCAGUGGACCGGCCACACACUUGUGUUGAGUGAAGGAAAGCUUUGGGAAGGCUGUCAAGGAGAGCAGAAGGAGUAGAUGCAAGUCUGCCUUGAACCUUCCACCUGGAGGAGCAGCCCAAGUAGAGAUGUGCAGACAUCUCUGGAGAGCCCAUCUCCAUCAGCUCCAAUCAUGGCUUCUGUUGGUAGGACCUCCAGCUGGCUUCCCCAGCCCUUCCCAGCCCUUUUUUGCCCCACCACCACUGGAGAAGGGAGAGGAAGCCCCGGGUUCUCAUUUCCCAGUGCAUGAGGAGGGAGAGGAAUCUCCCCUGCACUGAGACAUCUCAGCCAGAUGUGACUUCAGCUCUGUUGAAACGCCAUAUUGCAGCCAUCCCAGCCUUGGCUGCUUCUCUUGCUGGGGGAGUCUCUGGCUGGCUCCUGACAGCUCUUUCUUGUACAUCCAGACUGUGGCAAAGCACAGGGAUGAUCAGACAGACUCCACACGCUAACAGCCACAAUGCAUAUUUAUGCAAUCAUCAUCAGAAGAGCGUGCAAUGCUUAGCAUUUAUAUUGAGUUUUGCCUCCUGACUCGCAGGCACACAUUAAAAUUCUCACUCUGCUCCUGAAUAUCAAUAUCUGCUAUCUGUCUCCCCUUCUCUCUCACCCUGCUUUCCUGAAAGGGAAUAAAUAACACCUUGUUGAUGAGAGAGGUGUUUCUUUAUUCAGAGCAAUCAGACAUAGAAAUCUGUUACUUGCACCAUGCAUGCUCAGGUGCCACACAGCCCUAAGUAUUGUCAUUCCCCUGUAUUCUUCUUGUGUCCCCACAGAGACCCGGCUCUGCUCAGAAGACAAAUCAGCCACAUUCAUGGAUAGAGAUUUCCCCUGGUUAAUUCAAUCCAGUGUUUAUCCUACACCUGUCUGUCUGUAGCUGCUGCCAGAGCUUGCUCAUCCUAUAAGCUUUUCUUCGCUUCAGGCAAUCCAGCAGACUCCAGCAUCCCAAUUCUCCAUCUAAAAGUGUUACCUGCCACCCACACAUCCUUGUAUUUUCUCCUCCAUCCCUCGGAGUCAGAUCUCAGUCAUAAGAGAGAGUUUUCUCUCACCUUCAUGGGUUCGCUGUUGGCACAUGGGCUGGCUGGCACAGGCAGGUGUCUGGAAACAACUCGUCUGAGCAGCAGACUUUGGUUCAUCACAGAAUGAAGGUUUGGGUGCUCUGCCAGGGCAGAUCUGCGUGUUGCAGAGCCAGAAGCUAGGGCUGUUUGAAGUUUGAAUUUCACAGAUACUCGGAUAUGUUUUUGUCUGGCUCAUACUCCUCUCCUGCACUGUCCUUCCCAUGCCUCCUCCAGCAGGUAAUGGAGAGCCAUCUUGACUCCUCCUGUGCCCUAAGAAGGUGUCCUGCCAACAUGGAGAGAUGUCACUGGUGGUGCCAGAGCCCUUCAGAUGGGUAAGGAAAGAUACUUAGGGCCGGUUUAAAAUACUAGGUCUUUCCAGACGGGCAGAGGGAGCUCCAGCACAAAAGCUUUCUGAUGACCCCCCCCUGCUCUGCUACCAUCUCCCUCCUGGCUCUGGUCUGGACAACUGCAACCAGCUCUUUCCCAGGUGAUGCUUGGGGAUCGUUUAAUGGAUAGUCCAAAGGAAGACCAUUUCCAAAAGGGACCACGGACAUGAUUGCUUUAUUUGUCUUUUGACAAAUUGAUUGACUUUAUUUGUCUCCUUCUUUCCUAUACAAUCCUUCAAUGCCAUUUUAGCAGGCUUUCACAUAGCCCCAUGUGCCCCUUUGCCACCAAAGCAGGGUAGGUACGAGACUGUGUCCGUUGUCCAUGGAAUCAGGGAUCAGUCCCUACUCUUCAUUUAUUCAGUACUAAAGAUAUGAGAGAAGAGAUAGAAAACUAGGACAUGGCUGCAAUUUUAGGUGUGUUGGCUGGUAGGGACCUCUGGACCAGCCUCUUGCUCAAAGCAGGACUGUUACCAAAGCUAGGCCUUGAUGCUGUUUAGCCAAGUGUUGAAAAUCUCCAAGGAUGAGAAUUCCCCUCUCUGGAGAACUGCACUGCUCUCCUGGUGAGGUUUUUAUGUUCCACCCAAAAGUCACAGGCUACAACUCCUGUCCCUGCUUCUAUUGCCUGGCAUUACCAAGAAGAGAUUGGCUCUCAGGUCUCUACAGCAGCCCUUCAGGCAGUGGUAGGCCACCUUAGGCACAGGUAGCUUAGCCCUGUAACCUCCUCUUCUCCAAUAACCCAACUCUCCUCCUAGGCUGUGUGCUGUACACCCUGACCACGUUGGCAACCCUCUGCUGGACCAUCUGUGAGUGCCCCACAGUUCUUUUGGACCUGGUGGCCCCAGGCUGGAUUUUAUUAAAUAUUAUCCUGCAGCUUUUACUCGGAUAGAUACCAGCUCUCUUCAUCUGACUACCUCCUUUUUCUCAUCCUUCCCAUGGGGUUUAAAACUCCCUGUUCCACCUGUGGAGAUCCUUUCUUGCUCUUCUUUCCAUUAUUUAGCACAGCGCACAGCACAGGCACAAAAAAGGUCAAUAAAUCCAAAGGUAUCGCAUUGCACACCUCUACUAAGCAAUGUUAUCUCUCCCCCUACAACCCUGACUACUUGAAAAAGCUUGACCUAAAACAUUAGGCUGCUCAUGGGUCAAGAGCACACUCUGCCACGUUCACUAGAAUUGUCUUAUUUCUGUUUCCUCCUUUACCAAAUUACAUAUAAUCCUUAUAUUCAUGUGCUUCCUAUAUACCUUUUCCAUACACUUCAGCUGCAAACUCCUACAGUGUAGCUUAUCACCUUCUGGGUAUGUGAAGUCACAAGCUCAGUGGGAACCUGGUCCAGAGUCAGGGCUCCCUGCAGUCACAGCAGUUGUUGCUAACAGGAACAUGCUUAAUACUGUAGAGCAACAGACCAGUGCCCUGGUUGGGGCUUAUCCAGCAUGCACCUGGCUAAGUCUUGUGAAAAGGACAGAUAAAAGCUGAUUUAAGAGAGGAAGAAAACUGUAGUACGAAAUGAUAAAAUGCAAUCCUGGGAAAGUGAUUUUCAGAUGGCAGCCACGCUCAUGCUGUGAGAUUACAGAAAAGAAUUGGUUUUGCCAGAAGAGGAGCCUGUGAUUUCCACAAUGUUAGUAAUCAAACUCAUUGUGUAACAGAGAAUAAUAUGCAUGCAGCUCAGAUCCCUAUAAUCAGGAAACAGCUUGUUUCUUCCACGGCCCAGCAUGCAGGAAAAAAUGAAAACGUCACUGAUACACACUUGAGCAUAGAUGACAACAGGCAGAACACGAACAACCCCUGCCUCUUGUAAAUCAUGCCUGCAAGCAUCCUGGGGAAAUGGAGCGAUGGGGCAGUGAUCCGUAUGGCAGGUGGUACUGCAGGUUAGCUGCAGCACAAUGUCAGUGUAUGUGGGCUGGAGAUGGUGGGGGGCUGCCUGGUUCGUGUGUUCCUGAGAUUUCUGUGUUAUCUUUCGCGGCCACAGAGUGAGAAUUAUUUCUCCUAACACCCCAGCAGCGGGGGAGGGAGCGGGGAAUGCUGCACAUGACUGCUGCGUUGAGCUGGUGGCACGAAAUACAUGCACAAAGCUGCAAGCAGGCCAAAAAUUCUUCAGUCCUAAGCUCUUUUCAGGACUUGAAUUUGUGUCACAUCCGCAGAAAGGCAGUUACCAGGGACUGCUGUGACUGAGAUGGAGUGGUGUCAGGCGGUCGUAUUUUAUCUUCAAUAGAGUGCUUUUACUGUGCUGUCUUAAGUGGCACAUAGAGCCCACAAGAUAAAACAAGGCAGGAGGGCAGGGAUGCGUGCCCUGCUCUGCUUCUUUAUUGCCAUGGAGGGGGGAGUUAUAGACAGCAAAGGGAAAAGGGAAAGCAUCUGCUGACGGCAGCUGAGGACAUGUUGGCCAUUGAGUCUGGCUGCUGCCACUUGCUGAGGCAGUCAACCACAGCAAGGGGCAGAAAGAGCCAGACUCAGCUUCAGGUGUGGACCCCUUGGGAUGUCGUGACCUAAAGGAUGACCCAGCCUCAAUGGACGUUACAUCAGGGAGUUUGUAAACUGCUGUAAUGCACAAGGGCAUGUAGGCUCUAUUUCUCAGAUUUCUCUGUCACAGGUUAUUACAAAUUCCAGCUAUCAAGUAUACCUAAGAUUAAUAAAGCAAGUAGGUAUCAAGCUAACAUGGAUUAUUACCAGGAAUGCAAAUCUCUCAUUCUCUCAAUAUUACAUGUUACUACAAACUUAGCAGUAGUAAAGUAGCAAAUACACUUAUGAAUGAUUACUUAUGUUUGUAUGUAUAUAUAUAUAGAUAUUUAAAAAUGCUGUUGGUACCAAGUGCCAAUAAAAAGGUCCCAGAUGAUGUCUAACUGACCCCAGAAAAAGGUCAGUGAGGUCCGACCACAGAAGUGAGCCCAGGAGUGGGACCAGUAAGAUAACAAAGUCUCAAGUUGAAGAUGCAGCUCAGGGCCAAAGGGGUGUCUGCAGUGAAGGUUUGAUUUGUAUAGAGGAUCUUUUAGGAAAAAGGAAAGUUUUGUGCAGCACAGGAAGUUCUCAGAGAAAAAAGACUCAACUUUGGAUGGAAAAUGAGUUAUUUUUAUAGUUGCCAAGAAAUGCUGAUAAUUUCUAUUUUUCUCUCAAGAUAACCUUUUUUUUUACUUUCCCCUCACUAUUUUCCUUUCUUGCAGGUAGAACAUCCAAUAGGAGUUGAUAAUUCCUACUUUCUGAGAAUAUUUUCUGUUUUCCAUACUAUUUUUACCUGUUCAGGUGACAAGUUGCUGUUAGUUUGUUGAAUUUUUCCUUAUUGAUGGUACCUCCAGGAAGUGCCCAGUUCUUAUCUACAGAGAUGCCCUUCAAGGAGACCUUUAUGGGUCACAUUUAUGGCUCCUACGGUCUGGUCAAUACAGCAUUCUCUGCACCCCGUGCACCCUGCUACAAGCCUGUUGCAGCUUGGUUUCUUGGCCACAAAGGCAUGGAGGUGUGCACAUUGCCCAUGGAUGAGGCACUGGAGAAGGACACAGUUCUCAGUCUUCAUUCUCCGGCUCUUCAGUGUGAUCUUAUGCAGCAUAACGUUUCCACCUGAAUAAUUUACAAGGCAAAAGCACUCCAAGUAUGAAAACAUUUGCAACGAUAUUAGACAGAAAGACAGUCUUCACUGGGCCACUGCAAGGUACCUUUGUUGAAGCCUAUUUCCCUAGGAAAGUACAUGCUCCAACAAAUAGCCACUUGGAAUGUAAAUCAGGAAAAAAAGAGAAAUAAUCUACUUGGCUGCAAAUGCCUCAAGGAAUGAUGAGCAGAAAAGACACAGAAUAACUGGGGAAUGAUUUUGAAAGCAAUACAUGCAGGCCAAUUGCUCAGAGCCAGUGCCAGAAAAUAAGGCAAGACUUCUUUUAUUAAACAUGAUUGCUGUGACCUUCUCUGGUUAACCUACGGAAGGAAAAAUGAGCUAUGCACCGUGUAUGAUUUGUUGUUGUUACAGCUGGGCUGUUUUUCAGUGAACUCAUAGAAGCUGGAAUGUUUAUUUUGAUUUACUUUCGGUUUAUUUCUUUUUUUUUUUCUCUUAAAAGAGCAUGAAACAUCUAGCAUACAUGUAGCCUUCUCUGAGCACUGUGGCUGCAACCCCCCCUCUCAGCUCCUUUCUAUCUGUGAGCAUCACAGCCAUGCCUUUUCCUACCUC